GGACCAGUAGCUCAAUUGGAUAGAGUAUCUGACUACGGAUCAGAAGGUUGGGGGUUCGACUCCUCCCUGGUUCA
RNAcentral lists this transfer RNA (74 nucleotides) under Bacteroidales bacterium. RNAcentral's name for it is "tRNA-Arg". It matches the Rfam family "tRNA". Rfam says of the family: Transfer RNA (tRNA) molecules are approximately 80 nucleotides in length. The record is from RNAcentral. Lineage: Bacteria; Pseudomonadati; Bacteroidota; Bacteroidia; Bacteroidales.